This 492-nucleotide ribosomal RNA is filed under the name uncultured bacterium. RNAcentral describes it as "partial 16S ribosomal RNA". It matches the Rfam family "Bacterial small subunit ribosomal RNA", at positions 29 to 507 of the family's 1533-position model. The record is from RNAcentral.
AGUGAACGCUGGCGGUAGGCCUAACACAUGCCAGUCGAACGGCAGCACAGUAAGAGCUUGCUCUUACGGGUGGCGAGUGGCGGACGGGUGAGGAAUACAUCGGAAUCUACUUUUUCGUGGGGGAUAACGUAGGGAAACUUACGCUAAUACCGCAUACGACCUACGGGUGAAAGCAGGGGAUCUUCGGACCUUGUGCGAUUGAAUGAGCCGAUGUCGGAUUAGCUAGUUGGCGGGGUAAAGGCCCACCAAGGCGACGAUCCGUAGCUGGUCUGAGAGGAUGAUCAGCCACACUGGAACUGAGACACGGUCCAGACUCCUACGGGAGGCAGCAGUGGGGAAUAUUGGACAAUGGGCGCAAGCCUGAUCCAGCCAUACCGCGUGGGUGAAGAAGGCCUUCGGGUUGUAAAGCCCUUUUGUUGGGAAAGAAAAGCAGCAGGUUAAUACCCCGCUCUUCUGACGGUACCCAAAGAAUAAGCACCGGCUAACUUCGUG